GAUGAAGAACGUAGCGAAAUGCGAUACUUGGUGUGAAUUGCAGAAUCCCGUGAACCAUCGAGUCUUUGAACGCAAGUUGCGCCCGAAGCCAUCAGGUUGAGGGCACGUCUGCCUGGGCGUCACAUAUCGUUGCCCAAUGCCUAUUGCAGUGCAAUAGGAAUUUCUAGGGCGAAUGAUGGCUUCCCGUGAGCGUUGUUGCCUCGCGGUUGGUUGAAAAUCGAGUCCUUGGAAGGGUGUGCCAUGGUAGAUGGUGGUCGAGUUAGAACGAUACCGAUCAUGUGCAUGCUCCCCAAAAUAUGGCCUCUAUGACCCACACGCGUCUUUUGACGCUCAUGACGAGACCUCAGGUCAGGCGGGGCUACCCGCUGAAUUUAAGCAUAUCAAUAAGCGGAGGA
Molecule: unclassified non-coding RNA, 395 nt
Filed under: soil metagenome
Description: partial contains 5.8S ribosomal RNA, internal transcribed spacer 2, and large subunit ribosomal RNA
Rfam family: 5.8S ribosomal RNA (bases 1-122)
Source: RNAcentral